This 113-nucleotide ribosomal RNA is filed under the name Mus spicilegus (steppe mouse). The record is from RNAcentral. Lineage: Eukaryota; Metazoa; Chordata; Mammalia; Rodentia; Muridae.
UUCAAGGGUUAUACUCUGAAUGUGUCUGAUCUUUUCUGUCUCUGAGGCUAACCAGGUUGCACCUGGUUAGUUCUUGGAUGGGAGGCCACCUGGGAAUACUGGCUGUGGUGACA